AACGUAGGUGGCAAGCGUUAUCCGGAUUUACUGGGCGUAAAGCGCGCGCAGGUGGUAACGUAAGUUGGGUGUGAAAUCUCCUGGCUCAACUGGGAGGGGUCGCUCAAGACUGCGUUGCUUGAGGUCGAGAGAGGGAUGCGGAAUUCCCGGUGUAGUGGUGGAAUGCGUAGAUAUCGGGAGGAACACCAGUGGCGAAAGCGGCAUCCUGGCUCGCACCUGACACUGAGGCGCGAAAGCGUGGGGAGCAAACGGG
This 253-nucleotide ribosomal RNA is filed under the name uncultured bacterium. Its description in RNAcentral is "partial 16S ribosomal RNA". It matches the Rfam family "Bacterial small subunit ribosomal RNA", at positions 524 to 776 of the family's 1533-position model. The record is from RNAcentral.